Molecule: ribosomal RNA, 227 nt
Filed under: uncultured bacterium
Lineage: Bacteria
Description: partial 16S ribosomal RNA
Rfam family: Bacterial small subunit ribosomal RNA
Source: RNAcentral
AAGUCGGUUGUGAAGGCCUUCCGCUCAACGGAAGAACGGCAUCCGAUACUGCAUGGCUUGAGUGUGGGAGGGGAGAGUGGAACUUCUGGUGGAGCGGUGAAAUGCGUAGAUAUCAGAAGGAACACCGGCGGCGAAGGCGACUCUCUGGUCCAUAACUGACGCUGAGUGUGCGAAAGCUAGGGGAGCAAACGGGAUUAGAUACCCCGGUAGUCCUAGCCGUAAACGAU